GGCUUCCUGGUACUUACCACAGUCUGUAUUCUUACACUGACUGUAUAGAAAGAGGAGGCAGAGUAAACCAACCCCAUAUAUACCACAGCCCAGGCCCUGUGCCUGGUCUGUAUUGUGAAUCAGGAGACAAGG
Cercocebus atys (sooty mangabey) is the source of this 132-nucleotide small nucleolar RNA. The record is from Ensembl. NCBI's taxonomy places the organism in Eukaryota, Metazoa, Chordata, Mammalia, Primates, Cercopithecidae.